CAUUAUGAAGCUAUAUUGUAAGCGUCAACCUUUUAAGUUGAAGAUUAGGAACUCAAUCUCCUCAUAAUGA
This 70-nucleotide transfer RNA is filed under the name Neotamias ruficaudus ruficaudus. RNAcentral's name for it is "Tamias ruficaudus ruficaudus tRNA-Lys". It matches the Rfam family "tRNA". From Rfam's summary of the family: Transfer RNA (tRNA) molecules are approximately 80 nucleotides in length. Their secondary structure includes four short double-helical elements and three loops (D, anti-codon, and T loops). Lineage: Eukaryota; Metazoa; Chordata; Mammalia; Rodentia; Sciuridae. The record is from RNAcentral.